AGUGAACGCUGGCGGUAGGCCUAACACAUGCAAGUCGAACGGCAGCACAGUAAGAGCUUGCUCUUACGGGUGGCGAGUGGCGGACGGGUGAGGAAUACAUCGGAAUCUACUUUUUCGUGGGGGAUAACGUAGGGAAACUUACGCUAAUACCGCAUACGACCUACGGGUGAAAGCAGGGGAUCUUCGGACCUUGCGCGAUUGAAUGAGCCGAUGUCGGAUUAGCUAGUUGGCGGGGUAAAGGCCCACCAAGGCGACGAUCCGUAGCUGGUCUGAGAGGAUGAUCCGCCACGUUGGGACGGAGCGACGUUCUGGUGCACCACGGGAGGCAGCAGUGAGGAAUAGUGGACAACGGCCGCAAGCCGGCUCCGCCCAGGCCGGGGGGGUGAAAAGGGCUUUGGGUUUGAAAAGCCCUUUUGUUGGUAAAGAAAAGCAGCAUGUCAAUACCCCGCUGUUCGGCCGUUACGAAAAGAAUAACCCCGGGAUAACUUCGUGGAAGCGGCCGGGGUAAGAAGAGCCCACUUUUGACC
RNAcentral lists this ribosomal RNA (527 nucleotides) under uncultured bacterium. RNAcentral's name for it is "partial 16S ribosomal RNA". It matches the Rfam family "Bacterial small subunit ribosomal RNA", at positions 30 to 543 of the family's 1533-position model. The record is from RNAcentral.